Non-coding RNA from Mycena capillaripes, 94 nucleotides. The record is from the annotation of a GenBank genome assembly. NCBI's taxonomy places the organism in Eukaryota, Fungi, Basidiomycota, Agaricomycetes, Agaricales, Mycenaceae.
UCGGAUAUGGUGUAUGGUACACCGCCUCUGCCGUUGGAUGUGGGCUGGACAGGAUUAAGAGAGGCGAUCCGGGGUUCGACUCCCCGUGUCCGAA